RNAcentral lists this ribosomal RNA (403 nucleotides) under uncultured bacterium. Its description in RNAcentral is "partial 16S ribosomal RNA". It matches the Rfam family "Bacterial small subunit ribosomal RNA", at positions 30 to 526 of the family's 1533-position model. The record is from RNAcentral.
AUUGAACGCUGGCGGCAGGCCUAACACAUGCAAGUCGAGCGAGCGGCGGACGGGUGAUUAAUGUAUGGGGACUGCCCGCUAAAGGGGGAUAACUACUGGAAAAGGAGGAUAAUACCGAAUAAUGUCGGGUAACCCAGAGGGGAUUAGAUAGUAGGUAAGGUAAUGGCUUACUUAGGCGACGAUCCCUAGCUGGUAUGAGAGGAUGAUCAGCCACACUUGGACGGAGACACGGCCCAGACUCCACCGGAGGCAGCAGUGGGGAAUAUUGCACAAUGGGCGCAAGCCUUAGGCGGCCAUGCCGCGUGUAUGAAGAAGGCCCUAGGGUUGUAAAGUACUUUCAGUCGGGAGGCGUUACCGACAGAAGAAGCACCGGCUAACUCCGUGCCAGCAGCCGCGGUAAUUC